AAUGAACGCUGGCGGCAUGCCUAACACAUGCAAGUCGAACGAAGGCUUCGGCCUUAGUGGCGCACGGGUGCGUAACGCGUGGGAAUCUACCCUUGGGUUCGGAAUAACUCAGAGAAAUUUGAGCUAAUACCGGAUGAUGUCGCAAGACCAAAGAUUUAUCGCCCAAGGAUGAGCCCGCGUAGGAUUAGCUAGUUGGUGGGGUAAAGGCCCACCAAGGCGACGAUCCUUAGCUGGACUGAGAGGGUGAACGGCCACAUUGGGACUGAGACACGGCCCAGACUCCUACGGGAGGCAGCAGUGGGGAAUUUUGGACAAUGGGGGCAACCCUGAUCCAGCCAUGCCGCGUGCAGGAUGAAGGCCUUCGGGUUGUAAACUGCUUUUGUCAGGGACGAAAAGGACCGUGUUAAUACCAUGGUCUGCUGACGGUACCUGAAGAAUAAGCACCGGCUAACUACGUG
Molecule: ribosomal RNA, 458 nt
Filed under: uncultured bacterium
Lineage: Bacteria
Description: bacterial SSU rRNA
Rfam family: Bacterial small subunit ribosomal RNA
Source: RNAcentral